Molecule: small RNA, 2657 nt
Filed under: Pongo abelii (Sumatran orangutan)
Lineage: Eukaryota; Metazoa; Chordata; Mammalia; Primates; Hominidae
Description: retained intron
Source: RNAcentral
GAUGACGUCACUGCAAGGCGCCGGUGGACACGUUGGCUGCGUUUUCGGCGGGAUUCCCGCGGACAAAAAUGGCUAUGGCUAGCGAUUUCUACCUGCGCUACUACGUAGGGCACAAGGGCAAGUUUGGGCACGAGUUUCUGGAGUUCGAAUUUCGGCCGGACGGAAAGCUUAGAUAUGCCAACAACAGCAAUUACAAAAAUGAUGUCAUGAUCAGAAAAGAGGCUUAUGUGCACAAGAGUGUAAUGGAAGAACUGAAGAGAAUUAUUGAUGACAGUGAAAUUACAAAAGAAGAUGAUGCUUUGUGGCCUCCCCCUGAUAGGGUUGGCCGACAGGUUUGUAUUUAGUGAUUAAGUGUAUAAAUAUUAAAAAUUGAUAAUACUAUUUUGUUUCCCCUUAUUUAUUUGGAAUGAGUCUAAGUUGACUCUUUGGCUUUCUAUUUAAUAGGCACCUGGUAAAUUCUCUUUAAUUUUAUCUCUUAGUUCCGUUUUUCUGUGCUACCUCCUAGUAGUGAAGGAGUCAGUGCAUAGCUCUAAAUUUAGACAUCUUUCUCUGUAGUCACCCCAGCUAACGUUAGGAUGUUUUCACAGUGCAGUGUUAUGAAUAAUUUCUGUUGUGUGUUAAUCACUUUUAUUAAGAAUAUGACUAUGUAAAAUUUACUUUUGCGAAAUCAUAACUUAAAAUUCUUAUUUGCAUCUCUAUACCCCAGAGAGAGACUUGAUUGGUGGUUUCUUUGUUAAAACUGAUGAUUGCAUUUCCCUCUCAUAUUCCUUCAGAAUAAAUGAUGUUUCUCAGGCUUCUGAAGAACUCUGAAGGCCUAAUUUCACUCUAAAAAGAAAGUUUGGUUUCUGAAUUGGGUCUUUUCAACUCUUGGAGAAAUGAGAUACAACCCCUGGAAGGAAGAAACAUUUAAUUUCACUUUUGUAUAUCCCUGAGGAUUGUGCUUUAUAUCACCUUCUUUGAAUAGAAGAAAAUGUGGAGAAAUCUAACACAUGCUGACACUCUGUAGGAGUAACUUAAGUCUUCUGUUUAAAGAAGCAUUAUUUAGAAAAGCAAAGGUAAUAGUUAACAGUAUUUAUUUUAAGCAUCGUAUCACUUUUAAAAAGUAAAUUUAGGCCUCAGUUUGUUUUAUGCAGAUACACAUAUGUACUAAAAAGCAAACCACAGCAGCUAACCUUUUAUAUCAUUUAGACUCAGGGAGAGCCUAGUAUUUUAUCUGUUCACUUAAGGAUGUGUUCAUGGGUUUUGGUUAGUGGGGAGGAGUAGGCAUGCUUCAGAAAUUGCCUUUUGUAUCAAGUCAAAGGUUUUAUGGCUGUUAGAGCAUCUUAGCUAAUUCUCCAUUCCGUGUGUGUCAUAAACUGCAUAAUUAGGCCUCUGGUAAAUAAAUAGCUAGGAUUGUCUUCAGUAGUGUCUGUUAACUUGAAAAUUCGUUACAGAUAUAGCUUUUUAAUUAUUGGUUUUAGGCCUGCAGAUAAACAAUAUAGGGAAAAAUCUAUACAGUAAUUACAGCACACUAGGAACAUCUACAUUAAAUGGUUGUGUUUUUUUUUACUAGUUCUUAAUUUUAGUUAUUUUGUGGAGUAUUAGUUUUGAAGUCUUACCAUCUUGGGAUCAAAUAUAAGUACCAUCAUUAUUAGUGGUUAUAAAUAUCAACAAGUGUUUUCCUCUGCUUUAUGAGUUUUGGAUUACACAUUUGUAAAAUAGGUUAAUAAGGUUAUUUUCAAGAUUACAGAGAGUAUAAAGUCCCUAGCACUAGGGCCUGACAUACAGUAGGUGCUAAAGUGGUGGUGGUUAUUAAUAUUAUACAUUUUAUUUGUAGAAUCUUCCAGAAAGAAAAAAAUGUGUAUUUAUCAUAUUAAAAAUGGUCUUAUACUCCUAUCAUUUUUACAACAUGUGCUUCAAAGUGAUGUCUUUAGUUUUUACUGACAUUGUAAGAAAUAUUUCUUUGUCAUUUUGUUUCAUAGUGUCUUCUUUAUGUCUCUGGAAAGCAAUUCUUUGUUGGUCCUAAACUUGAGGGUAGUGCUCGUGAGCAGUUUUUAUUUUAAGGAUAUAGUUUAUAUCUAAGAAACCAUGUUUCUUUCCCCCCGCCCCCCACUCCCUCUGUUGGCUGCUAGAAAACUUGCAACUAAAAUUGGGAUCCACUUGUAGCAAGAAUACAGAUACCUCUGGGAUAGAUUUUUAUAUUAACUACAUUUUUCUGCUCUAUUUUUUAGGAGCUUGAAAUUGUAAUUGGAGAUGAGCACAUAUCUUUUACCACAUCAAAAAUAGGUUCUCUUAUUGAUGUAAAUCAGUCAAAGGAUCCGGAAGGCCUUCGAGUAUUUUACUAUUUGGUACAAGACUUGAAAUGUUUAGUUUUCAGUCUUAUUGGAUUACACUUCAAGAUUAAACCAAUUUAAAUUGUAUGUUUUCAGGCUGUUUGUAUAUUUAAUUAAGGGAUGGGAGGGGUUAUUUGUCAUUUACAGUAUUGGGGUUUUUAUGAAUGUGAAGCAAACAAAAAAAAUUUGUAUGUAAACUGAAAAUAAGAAAAUACAUUAGCAAAAGCUUAAUGCUUAUCCUUACUUGAGUCCGCAUGGGUUGGACAGUCCCCACACACAUUAAGUUCCGUAAAUAAAAGCCACCUUUUGUUAAAAAUUUGCUCUAAUAAAACGUACCAAAUCCUG